ACUCCUACGGGAGGCAGCAGUAGGGAAUCUUCCACAAUGGGCGCAAGCCUGAUGGAGCAACACCGCGUGAGUGAAGAAGGGUUUCGGCUCGUAAAGCUCUGUUGUUAAAGAAGAACACGUAUGAGAGUAACUGUUCAUACGUUGACGGUAUUUAACCAGAAAGUCACGGCUAACUACGUGCCAGCAGCCGCGGUAAUACGUAGGUGGCAAGCGUUAUCCGGAUUUAUUGGGCGUAAAGAGAGUGCAAGCGGUUUUCUAAGUCUGAUGUGAAAGCCUUCGGCUUAACCGGAGAAAUGCAUCGGAAACUGGAUAACUUGAGUGCAGAAGAGGGUAGUGGAACUCCAUGUGUAGCGGUGGAAUGCGUAGAUAUAUGGAAGAACACCAGUGGCGAAGGCGGCUACCUGGUCUGCAACUGACGCUGAGACUCGAAAGCAUGGGUAGCGAACAGGAUUAGAUACCCUGGUAGGAUAGCG
Molecule: ribosomal RNA, 473 nt
Filed under: uncultured bacterium
Lineage: Bacteria
Description: bacterial SSU rRNA
Rfam family: Bacterial small subunit ribosomal RNA
Source: RNAcentral